Long non-coding RNA from Nasonia vitripennis (jewel wasp), 3699 nucleotides. RefSeq lists it as uncharacterized. The record is from RefSeq and is a predicted model, not a curated record. The transcript is spliced from 8 exons. NCBI's taxonomy places the organism in Eukaryota, Metazoa, Arthropoda, Insecta, Hymenoptera, Pteromalidae.
AUAUAUAUGCGAUCUACCCAUUGCAUUAUAUACGCAUAAUAGUUAUUAUGAAAGUAAACGAUUCACAUUAUUAUUUGUUUAUCUAAAACUUAAUGCAAAUUUAUUUGCUUAUGCAUUAAUUGUUUACCACGUAUGUGAAUACGUAUAUUCAUUAUUAUAUAUCGCAUUAAUGCACUGCAUACAUUUCGAUUUUUAUUUAUUUAUUUAUAUCAACGUUAUUAUUUAUUAUGCACAAUGCUAUUGUUUUCUUUGCAUGUGUCAAUACAACUACCUAAUAAUUAAAUAAUUUAAUUGUAAUCAUUUUCAAAAGUUUGAAUAGUACGUUUGAAUUCGCGCCGCGCGAUACGUGCACUAUAUAUGUGAUUUUCCGUUGUCUCUGUCAUUGUACUAUAGUUAAUUAAGCGGGAAACGCAACAAAGUAUAUUACUUUUUGCUUUGAUGAUUUCCCUCGUUAACAGCAAAAAACUUCGUUCGCUGAAUAAUCGUUGAAUAUCAACAAUUGUUUCUGCAAACUUGGAUAAUCACUUGUGUUAUUGCUUAAUCAACUCAAUUAGACCCGGAUAGUCGAAGAAUCUUGCCGCAUUUCCUGAGGAAGCUGUUGAUCGUCGACCCUCGCUUGCGUCCAUCUCCAGCUAGAGAGGGGCUGCUCAACAGGUCCUGGAAGCCUCGUCUUCUUCGACUGCACCUGAUGGACAUUGAGUUUGUCAGGCAGCUUACACAUACAUAUAUUUUCUGUUUCAUACACUCCAUCCUGCAACUUGAUUACUUUUCUUUCAUUAUUUCUCAUUACAACAAUAGUUCAUAUAGACUUUACUCAUUCUUUCUUAUACUUUCUAUUUUCGAGCCUAAUAUUGUCAACCACACCAUCGUCUGGACCAUCUACCACACCACAGCACCUGCGGUUCCUAGAAUAUUAUAUAAAGUUAGCUGAAAAAAAACCACAGACAACAACAGCCACUCAGCGGAAGAUAAGAAUUGCAGCUUGCUUCUGAGGUACUUCGACAGGUUCAGCUCACCAUACUCACCAAUAUAGUUGGAAUAGCAAAAACACCAUCAGAAGCGCAGCCAGGAAUAUGCGUCAAAAUUAGGAUUAUCUUUAUAGAUAAGUAUAUUAUCUAGCGUUUAUAAUUUAUUCAAUUACAAAUUUAAAUCUGUUUUAUAUUUAUUUGCAGCGGCAGCAGCAAAGUCAACAAUAAUAACAAGGAAGUGUGCCGAUUGUUCUCCUCGCCUCCAGGAGUCGUCCAAUUUUCAACUGCUUUAUUAUUAUUUAAUAUUGUUCGUUUAUUAAUAUUAUUAUUAUUCUUGUUAUCAUUAUAUUAGAUUGAUCAAAGCUCAAAAAUUGUUAUGUAUAUUUUAUUCGAUAUCAUUGUUAUAUUUUUAUAUUUGUACUGCGCUAUAGUUUUAUUGUUUCAAUUGUAUUUAUUUAUUUAUAUUAAUGUUUUAAUAAAUCAUACAUAUUAAUUAGCUCCGUGAAGUCCUAAAAUAACUUUCAUAUAUCGUAAUAAAAAAAAUACCAGUAAUUGCGGAAUCGAUAACAACGUUAACAACCGCAAGUUACAAAAUUGCGGGUGGUUUUCUUUUUUUGUAAAAAAUCAAAAACUUUUUGAGUCGUCAAAACUAUGGGUAUACGGUUUUGUAAGGAGAUACCCAUUAUUUAUAGAUAUGAAACCAAUAUGAAUCGUUCCCAAUUUAAUUGCGGUCUUUAUAAAUAAUUGCGUUACCACCAAAUUUGCUGUAAUUAAUUAGUUAUUAAUUAAUUUUAUUUUGGCGAUAAAUUUGUCCAUUCCAUAGUCCGCGUUCCGGCUGUCCGAUUGGUUCUGCGCAUGACUCGAAGUCGAAGGAGCAGACAGCAGUACACAAUUUAAAUUCGCGUUACCACGUAACCUCAAAUUAAUUGUAAAUAAAGCUAACGCUUGUGAAUCGUGCUUCUAACAACGCUGAAGAAUAAUGGAUCAGAUAAAUAUCAAAGUUUUAAAAUAAUCGAACGUAAAGAAAAGCAAGAAUAAUUUACUUUGUUUUUCUUUUAUUAUUUUUACAGGCAACAGUGAUAAAUAGGAUUUGUGCAAUGGUAGUAACAAAUCAUCAUCUGUUGAAAAUGGCACUCAAGCAAAAUUGUGCAUUGAUUCUGAUCUUAAUAACAUCAGCCACAAUAUAGAAAACCCUCUAUAGUUUUCUACUUAUUCUCCGGACAAGUUAUGGAUGGCGAAUGUGAAAAGGUUACAAUUUACAAUUUGGUGGCUUAUUAAGAGAAUCAGUUAUCAAUGAAAUUAAUUUUGAUGAUGUUAAUUCACAAUGCCAAACGACAAACUCCAUUUGUCCAAAGAAUAAGCACAUCCAAUGCGAUAUACACUCCUCUGACAUGGCAGCAGGGAGAUCCAAGAAGAUCAUAUACCACAGAUAUUGAAAUGAGCAAAAUCUGAACCUGACUUUACGAUGACUAACUAACAAUUAUUUUUCAUAUUUAUACUUUUUACUAUAUUUAUAUUUAUACUAUUUAUACUUAUGUUAUUUUCAACUAUUUAUAGUCACCAGCUGUACCUGCAAGUUCCAAUGGUGGUACUGGAAUAAUAACAAAAGAACAUACAAGAGCAUCUCUUUUAUCCGAGCUUUUGUCAAUCAUAGGAGAUACAAACUACAACUACGACGACUAACAACUAUAUGAUAACCAAUCUAUUGAGGGUGAUGAUACUGUUACUACAGUUUCUCCAUUAUACAAACAAAUGCUGAAUGUUUUUGUGGAGAAAGCUGCUAUUGAAGAUGCAAUUUACUAUCUUGCUGAAGGAUUGCGAAGCAGCACAAUUGAUUUGGAUGCUUUUCUCAAACAAAUCAGGCACCUAUCGAGAAGACAAUUCAUACUCAGGGCACUCGUGUCUGCACUUUGAAAGCAGAAAGCUGGAUUAGCAAAUUAAAAAGAAGAAAGAUCCUUUCACAUUAUUAUUUUAUUUUUCAAAAUGUAUCAAAGUUUGCUGAUACACGUCUAUAGUAUCAUCCUCAUCCAUCUGUAUAACAUAGAAGUCCAGUUCAUGAACAGGUUGACUGACCAUCAAACCAGAAUCGCACUGCAGUAAUUGCAAGUUGUCUGCAAUUGCUAAUUGUUCAUAAAGUGUUUGGGAUAAAUUAAAUCCUGCUUUUAGGUACAGAAAUAUUCUUCCUCCUUAUUCCAACAGGCCAAAGCUUACAGACUAACAUCCAAGAUGAGGAACGACAAGUAUAUAAAAUUUACAAAUUAUAAAUGUUAAAAAAUAAGGUGCAUAUUCUUGAUAGUUUUCCAACUCUAAUUGAUAAAGUUUGUCUGCUGAAUUAUUAGGAUGGAUCAGGUGUAACACUUUCGAAAGGUUCUGGGAUUCUGCUUAUAAGCUUAUCUUCAAUGUUUUUUUUUCUAUGAUCUGUAAAAUGUAUUUUAUUAAAAUAUAUCCAUCUAGUUGAAAAAUUAUCAAGAUAAAACUAAAAACUACUUAUUUGUUUUGUCGGAUGCUCAAGCACCUGUAUUGUGAAUUUAUUAACUGUACAGUUCAUGUUGCAUAAGAACAUCAACACAACAUCUAGCUUUUAUCGUACCUUCUGGGUUGACUGCUAUUUGUAUGAAAAUCAUAAGGAUUGUACAAAAUCUGUAUUGGAUGCACGGUGUCAAAAAGAAGGAGAUGGAAGCUUUAAUUGAAGCAAGAUCAGCCUAGGAGAUUAGCGCACACAUAUGUACCU